GGCGGAUGUAGCCAAGUGGAUCAAGCCAGUGGAUGGUG
Molecule: transfer RNA, 38 nt
Filed under: Dyschoriste humilis
Lineage: Eukaryota; Viridiplantae; Streptophyta; Magnoliopsida; Lamiales; Acanthaceae
Description: partial tRNA-His
Source: RNAcentral